GAUGAACGCUGGCGGCGUGCCUAAUACAUGCAAGUCGAGCGAACGGACGAGAAGCUUGCUUCUCUGAUGUUAGCGGCGGACGGGUGAGUAACACGUGGAUAACCUACCUAUAAGACUGGGAUAACUUCGGGAAACCGGAGCUAAUACCGGAUAAUAUUUUGAACCGCAUGGUUCAAAAGUGAAAGACGGUCUUGCUGUCACAUAUAGAUGGAUCCGCGCUGCAUUAGCUAGUUGGUAAGGUAACGGCUUACCAAGGCAACGAUGCAUAGCCGACCUGAGAGGGUGAUCGGCCACACUGGAACUGAGACACGGUCCAGACUCCUACGGGAGGCAGCAGUAGGGAAUCGUCCGCAAUGGGCGAAAGCCUGACGGAGCAACGCCGCGUGAGUGAUGAAGGUCUUCGGAUCGUAAAACUCUGUUAUUAGGGAAGAACAUAUGUGUAAGUAACUGUGCACAUCUUGACGGUACCUAAUCAGAAAGCCACGGCUAACUACGUG
This 497-nucleotide ribosomal RNA is filed under the name uncultured bacterium. Its description in RNAcentral is "partial 16S ribosomal RNA". It matches the Rfam family "Bacterial small subunit ribosomal RNA", at positions 28 to 507 of the family's 1533-position model. The record is from RNAcentral.